GUCGAGGGAGAUUGUUGGAUUCGUCUGACAUGAAACCGGCGCACGGGUGCGUAACACGUAUGCAACCUACCUUUAACUGGGGUAUAGCUCAGAGAAAUCUGAAUUAAUCCCCCAUAAGACUACGACAUGGCAUCAUGAUGUAGUUAAAGCUCCGGCGGUUAAGGAUGGGCAUGCGGUACAUUAGCUAGUUGGUGAGGUAAUGGCUCACCAAGGCUACGAUGUAUAGGGGGUCUGAGAGGAUGAUCCCCCACACUGGUACUGAGACACGGACCAGACUCCUACGGGAGGCAGCAGUAGGGAAUAUUGGUCAAUGGACGCAAGUCUGAACCAGCCAUGCCGCGUGAAGGAUGAAGGCCCUAUGGGUCGUAAACUUCUUUUAUUAGGGAAGAAGAAAUGGGAUGCGUCCUAUACUGACGGUACUUAAUGAAUAAGGAUCGGCUAACUUCGUGCCAGCAGCCGCGGUAAGACGAAGGAUCCAAGCGUUGUCCGGAUUUACUGGGUUUAAAGGGUGCGUAGGCGGAAAAUUAAGUCAGUGGUGAAAGCCCGCAGCUCAACUGUGGAACUGCCAUUGAAACUGGUUUUCUUGAAUAUAGCUGAGGCAGAUGGAAUAUAACAUGUAGCGGUGAAAUGCUUAGAUAUGUUAUAGAACACCGAUUGCGAAGGCAGUCUGCUAAACUAUUAUUGACGCUGAGGCACGAAAGCGUGGGGAGCGAACAGGAUUAGAUACCCUGGUAGUCCACGCCCUAAACG
Molecule: ribosomal RNA, 750 nt
Filed under: uncultured bacterium
Lineage: Bacteria
Description: bacterial SSU rRNA
Rfam family: Bacterial small subunit ribosomal RNA
Source: RNAcentral